GGUUAAGUGACUAAGCGUACACGGUGGAUGCCUAGGCAGUCAGAGGCGAUGAAGGGCGUGCUAAUCUGCGAAAAGCGUCGGUAAGGUGAUAUGAACCGUUAUAACCGACGAUACCCGAAUGGGGAAACCCAGUGUGUUUCGACACACUAUCAUGUCAUGAAUACAUAGUGGCAUGAGGCGAACCGGGGGAACUGAAACAUCUAAGUACCCCGAGGAAAAGAAAU
Molecule: ribosomal RNA, 224 nt
Filed under: Serratia rubidaea
Lineage: Bacteria; Pseudomonadati; Pseudomonadota; Gammaproteobacteria; Enterobacterales; Yersiniaceae
Description: partial 23S ribosomal RNA
Rfam family: Bacterial large subunit ribosomal RNA
Source: RNAcentral